AUUGAACGCUGGCGGCAGGCCUAACACAUGCAAGUCGAGCGGAUGAAGGGAGCUUGCUCCUGGAUUCAGCGGCGGACGGGUGAGUAAUGCCUAGGAAUCUGCCUGGUAGUGGGGGAUAACGUCCGGAAACGGGCGCUAAUACCGCAUACGUCCUGAGUGAGAAAGUGGGGGAUCUUCGGACCUCACGCUAUCAGAUGAGCCUAGGUCGGAUUAGCUAGUUGGUGGGGUAAAGGCCUACCAAGGCGACGAUCCGUAACUGGUCUGAGAGGAUGAUCAGUCACACUGGAACUGAGACACGGUCCAGACUCCUAAGGGAGGCAGCAGUGGGGAAUAUUGGACAAUGGGCGAAAGCCUGAUCCAGCCAUGCCGCGUGUGUGAAGAAGGUCUUCGGAUUGUAAAGCACUUUAAGUUGGGAGGAAGGGCAGUAAGUUAAUACCUUGCUGUUUUGACGUUACCAACAGAAUAAGCACCGGCUAACUUCGUG
RNAcentral lists this ribosomal RNA (484 nucleotides) under uncultured bacterium. RNAcentral describes it as "partial 16S ribosomal RNA". It matches the Rfam family "Bacterial small subunit ribosomal RNA", at positions 30 to 507 of the family's 1533-position model. The record is from RNAcentral.